Molecule: long non-coding RNA, 335 nt
Organism: Oncorhynchus tshawytscha (Chinook salmon)
Lineage: Eukaryota; Metazoa; Chordata; Actinopteri; Salmoniformes; Salmonidae
Source: Ensembl
GUUGAUACUCUACUGUCCAGACUCAGUCAGGUCCAGGUUGAUACUCUACUGUAUCUGCUGUUAUCUCUACUGUCCAGACUCAGUCAGGUCCAGGUUGGUACUCUACUCUACUGUCCAGACUCAGUCAGGUCCAGGUUGAUACUCUACUCUACUGUCCAGACUCAGUCAGGUCCAGGUUGAUACUCUACUGUAUCUGCUGUUAUCUCUACUGUCCAGACUCAGUCAGGUCCAGGUUGGUACUCUACUCUACUGUCCAGACUCAGUCAGGUCCAGGUUGGUACUCUACUGUCCAGACUCAGUCAGGUCCAGGUUAGGACUCUACUCUACUGUCCAGA